Molecule: long non-coding RNA, 609 nt
Organism: Triticum dicoccoides
Lineage: Eukaryota; Viridiplantae; Streptophyta; Magnoliopsida; Poales; Poaceae
Exons: 2
Source: RefSeq, a predicted model, not a curated record
UGCGUGGCUACGUCCACUCGUGCACCCAUCGCACGGGGGGUUACUUUUCCUCUCUCAUCGCACGUUACAUUUGCUCACCUAUCUUUCUCCCACCUUAGGAGAGAUCCCCUUUUUCCCGACCACCUCCUGAGCCUGAGUUCCUUCCUCCCUCCGUGAUCCGCCGCUGCUCUCGCAUCCUCUCCACGAGGAGGUCUCAUCAGCGGAGCGCGGAUCCACGGCCGAUGCGCGUCCUCAGGUAAGCUGUGGUGUCGAUGCUGACUCAAUGAAGGCUGACCAGCCAUGCCUCCAUGGUGCCAUGGACUGGAACAGCAUGUGAUGUCCCUGCGAAUCAAUUAUUUUGCCAACGCGUCUGAUUCUACUUCAUCAGAAAGAUUCUUGGAGUGUGUCCCGUAACCAAAGCUCAACUUGUUUCUAGUACUUCAUCACAAAGAAAAAGGAAUCAAGUAAGGGAUGUUCUUAUCUGUCGAGAAGACAAGUGACCUUGUAAAUUAAGCUUGUUUAGCACAUUUCAUCCAUUUACUUGGCAUGUGGUAGAGACUUAUUGUGGAAUCUGCCAAAAAAUCAUGACAUGUUCUGUGGUAUAUCUACACUAGUUCACGGAGGAGUUAA